AACGAACGCUGGCGGCAUGCCUAAUACAUGCAAGUCGAACGAGAAAGUCCUUUCGGGGAUGAGUAGAGUGGCGCACGGGUGAGUAACACGUAGGUGACCUACCUUUUAGCUGGGGAUAACAUAGAGAAAUCUGUGCUAAUACCGAAUGAAGUGCAUGAGUUUGAAAACAAUGCACCAAAGGUGGCGUCCGCAAGGAGCUAUCGUUAGAAGAAGGGCCUGCGGGGUAUUAGCUAGUUGGUAGGGGAAUGGUCUACCAAGGCGACGAUACCUAGCCGGUUUGAGAGAAUGAUCGGGCACACUGGAACUGAGACACGGUCCAGGCUCCUACGGGAGGCAGCAGUAGGGAAUAUUGCGCAAUGGGGGCAACCCUGACGCAGCAAUGCCGCGUGAGUGAAGAAGGCCUUCGGGUUGUAAAGCUCUGUCAGAGGGGAAAAAGGAUAUGUGUUCGAACAGGGCAUAUAUUUGAUGGUACCCUCAAAGGAAGCACCGGCUAACUUCGUGCCAGCCGCCGCCGUAA
Molecule: ribosomal RNA, 517 nt
Filed under: uncultured bacterium
Lineage: Bacteria
Description: partial 16S ribosomal RNA
Rfam family: Bacterial small subunit ribosomal RNA
Source: RNAcentral